GAUCAACGCUGGCGGCGUGCCUAAUACAUGCAAGUCGAGCGAACGGACGAGAAGCUUGCUUCUCUGAUGUUAGCGGCGGACGGGUGAGUAAAACGUGGAUAACCUACCUAUAAGACUGGGAUAACUUCGGGAAACCGGAGCUAAUACCGGAUAAUAUUUUGAACCGCAUGGUUCAAAAGUGAAAGACGGUCUUGCUGUCACUUAUAGAUGGAUCCGCGCUGCAUUAGCUAGUUGGUAAGGUAACGGCUUACCAAGGCAACGAUGCAUAGCCGACCUGAGAGGGUGAUCGGCCACACUGGAACUGAGACACGGUCCAGACUCCUACGGGAGGCAGCAGUAGGGAAUCUUCCGCAAUGGGCGAAAGCCUCACGGAGCAACGCCGCGUGAGUGAUGAAGGUCUUCGGAUCGUAAAACUCUGUUAUUAGGGAAGAACAUAUGUGUAAGUAACUGUGAACAUCUUGACGGUACCUAAUCAGAAAGCCACGGCUAACUACGUG
RNAcentral lists this ribosomal RNA (497 nucleotides) under uncultured bacterium. RNAcentral's name for it is "partial 16S ribosomal RNA". It matches the Rfam family "Bacterial small subunit ribosomal RNA", at positions 28 to 507 of the family's 1533-position model. The record is from RNAcentral.